CGAAAGCGUGGGUAGCAAACAGGAUUAGAUACCCUGGUAGUCCACGCCCUAAACGAUGCAUAUUUGGUGUAGGCAGUUCAUUCUGUCUGUGCCGGAGCUAACGCGUUAAAUAUGCCGCCUGGGGAGUACAGUCGCAAGGCUGAAACUCAAAGGAAUUGACGGGGGCCCGCACAAGCGGUGGAGCAUGUGGUUCAAUUCGACGCAACGCGAAGAACCUUACCUGGGCUCGAACGGCUCACGAACGUCCUUGGAAACAGGGAUUUCCCGCAAGGGACGGGAGUCGAGGUGCUGCAUGGCUGUCGUCAGCUCGUGUCGUGAGAUGUUGGGUUAAGUCCCGCAACGAGCGCAACCCUUGUCCUGUGUUGCCAUCAUUUAGUUGGGAACUCGCAGGAGACCGCCAGCGAUAAGCUGGAGGAAGGUGGGGAUGACGUCAAGUCCUCAUGGCCUUUAUGUCCAGGGCUACACACGUGCUACAAUGGCCGGUACAAUGCGCUGCUAAGUCGCAAGACGGAGCCAAUCGCAAAAAACCGGUCUCAGUUCGGAUUGCAGGCUGCAACUCGCCUGCAUGAAGCUGGAAUCGCUAGUAAUGGCAUAUCAGAACGAUGCCGUGAAUACGUUCCCGGGCCUUGUACACACCGCCCGUCACAUCACGAAAGUGGAUUGUACUAGAAGUCCGCAGGCUGACCCGCAAGGGGAGCAGCGGCCCAAGGUAUGAUUCAUGAUUGGGGUGAAGUCGUAACAAGGUAGCCGUA
RNAcentral lists this ribosomal RNA (752 nucleotides) under uncultured bacterium. Its description in RNAcentral is "bacterial SSU rRNA". It matches the Rfam family "Bacterial small subunit ribosomal RNA", at positions 754 to 1504 of the family's 1533-position model. The record is from RNAcentral.